Magnolia sinica is the source of this 280-nucleotide long non-coding RNA. RefSeq lists it as uncharacterized. The record is from RefSeq and is a predicted model, not a curated record. NCBI's taxonomy places the organism in Eukaryota, Viridiplantae, Streptophyta, Magnoliopsida, Magnoliales, Magnoliaceae. The transcript has 2 exons.
GAUGAUGAUGAUGAUGAUGAUUUGGUGCAUUUAGGUUCUAUCCAAAGCAGAGUUAUAGUUCCUUGCAUUGCUUCCCAGCCUCCAUCCCAAAGUCAAGGUCAUUGCUGAAUGUGGAAACUGGAGAAAAGUCAUGUGGAAGCCACUCAAAGAAAUUGCAGGACUAACUCAAGAUGGUGCACCAUCUCCAGUCUCAACUCCAGGAAUGUCUUAAGAACUUCAUACAUGUUAAAGGAAGAUGCAUGUGACAAUGGCAAAUAAAAACUUCUAUAAGUUCUUACUA